AAACAUUUAAUUACUAAGAAUACAUAUAUACAUGUAUUUAGAUAAGAUCCGUGGCGAAACUUGUUGCGAUGUGUCUUCUAAUAGGUAGUGAUGUCCAUGCAUUGUUAGGCCUAGUCCAUGUGGUAGGUACAACAUUGAGAUGAAUGUAUGCAUCUGAUGACUUCGAUGUCAACAAAAGAAAAGACCUGGAUGCCAUGAUACCAUGCAUAGCAGCCAUAUCUAGGCUGACGCCAGCUGGAAGCGAGAAGACAACGCCAUCUAGCAAGGCUGGAUGGUUGCCACAAAACAUAACACAAUCUCUCCCAUACAGACUCAUACUCUAUAUUAAUCUGUAUUGCAUCAAAUUGAAAUUGCAUUUAUUUAUGAAAAUAGUGUAUAUAAUAUGAAACAUAAUAAUUAUUUUUUGUGGCAUUUUGUAACACAAUAGCGCCU
RNAcentral lists this long non-coding RNA (432 nucleotides) under Androctonus crassicauda. Lineage: Eukaryota; Metazoa; Arthropoda; Arachnida; Scorpiones; Buthidae. The record is from RNAcentral.